Molecule: ribosomal RNA, 392 nt
Filed under: uncultured Gammaproteobacteria bacterium
Lineage: Bacteria; Pseudomonadati; Pseudomonadota; Gammaproteobacteria
Description: bacterial SSU rRNA
Rfam family: Bacterial small subunit ribosomal RNA
Source: RNAcentral
AAUGGGCGCAAGCCUGAUCCAGCCAUACCGCGUGAGUGAAGAAGGCCCUCGGGUUGUAAAGCUCUUUCGUCGGGGAAGAAAAUGACUGUACCCGAAUAAGAAGGUCCGGCUGACUUCGUGCCAGCAGCCGCGGUAAUACGAAGGGACCUAGCGUAGUUCGGAAUUACUGGGCUUAAAGAGUUCGUAGGUGGUUGAAAAAGUUGGUGGUGAAAUCCCAGAGCUUAACUCUGGAACUGCCAUCAAAACUUUUCAGCUAGAGUAUGAUAGAGGAAAGCAGAAUUUCUAGUGUAGAGGUGAAAUUCGUAGAUAUUAGAAAGAAUACCAAUUGCGAAGGCAGCUUUCUGGAUCAUUACUGACACUGAGGAACGAAAGCAUGGGUAGCGAAGAGGAUU